UACAGAGGUCUCAAGCGUUGUUCGGAUUCAUUGGGCGUAAAGGGCGCGUAGGCGGCCACCGCAAGUCGACUGUGAAAUCUCCGGGCUUAACCCGGAAAGGUCAGCCGAUACUGCGGGGCUAGAGUGCAGAAGGGGCAACUGGAAUUCUCGGUGUAGCGGUGAAAUGCGUAGAUAUCGAGAGGAACACCUGCGGCGAAGGCGGGUUGCUGGGCUGAUACUGACGCUGAGGCGCGAAAGCUAGGGGAGCGAACGGG
Molecule: ribosomal RNA, 254 nt
Filed under: uncultured bacterium
Lineage: Bacteria
Description: partial 16S ribosomal RNA
Rfam family: Bacterial small subunit ribosomal RNA
Source: RNAcentral